RNAcentral lists this ribosomal RNA (414 nucleotides) under uncultured bacterium. RNAcentral's name for it is "bacterial SSU rRNA". It matches the Rfam family "Bacterial small subunit ribosomal RNA", at positions 28 to 417 of the family's 1533-position model. The record is from RNAcentral.
GACGAACGCUGGCGGCGUGCUUAACACAUGCAAGUCGAACGAGAGGACAAGAGAAGCUUGCUUCUUUUGGAAUCGAGUGGCAAACGGGUGAGUAACACGUAAACAACCUGCCUUCAGGAUGGGGACAACAGACGGAAACGACUGCUAAUACCGAAUACGCUUGGGAGACCGCAUGAUCUACCAAGGAAAGGGUGGCCUCUACCUGUAAGCUAUCGCCUGAAGAGGGGUUUGCGUCUGAUUAGGCAGUUGGUGAGGUAACGGCCCACCAAACCUACGAUCAGUAGCCGGUCUGAGAGGAUGAACGGCCACACUGGAACUGAGACACGGUCCAGACUCCUACGGGAGGCAGCAGUGGGGAAUCUUCCGCAAUGGGCGAAAGCCUGACGAGCAACGCCGCGUGAGUGAUGACGGCCU